AGAAUACGCCCAACAGGAAACUAAUAAUAAACAAAAACAUUCGUAGCAGAAUUGAUGUUGAUAACAAAAAGGUUCUUUUGCAGACUUUUAAAUUCAUUCAGGUGUUUUUGGCAUCACUGCAAUUGUUUACGAGAGAAAAUGUUGACGUUUAUGGAUAGGGAGCUGAUGCGUUUGCGUCUGACGUGAGAGUGAGAGCGCGUCUCUCGUAAAUGUCAUUUUGUUGGAAUAUUUUGGAGAUGACGGACGUGUGAUUGUUUUCAUGGAGGAGGAUUUUGAUUAUUUUUAACGGUUUACUACAUGGCAUAGUCGGUAGACUUUUGAAUUCAGUCAGGUGUUUUUGGCAUCACUGCAAUUGUUUACGAGAGAAAAUGUUGACGUUUAUGGAUAGGGAGCUGAUGCGUUUGCGUCUGACGUGAGAGUGAGAGCGCGUCUCUCGUAAAUGUCAUUCUGUUGGAAUAUUUUGGAGAUGACGGACGUGUGAUUGUUUUCAUGGAGGAGGAUUUUGAUUAUUUUUAACGGUUUACUACAAUUUCAAACUGGAUUCGUCUAUUAUUUCGAGCAGUUUGCUUGACGUUUCAAAUCAAGUUGCAAAAUUAUGCUGUGUACACGCUAACCAGGCGAUCUCAAUUUUGAGAUGGGCAACGUUGAGAUGAGCAACUCGAUCUCAAUUUUGAGAUCCAGAAGGCGAUCUCAAAAUUGAGAUGGGUUGGGUUGGGUGAAAAUCGCCGGGAAUGCGGAUAUCGGGUCGGGGAGGACUAUUUUUGAUGGAAUAAUAAAAUAAAUGAAAAUUGAUUUUAUUGAAAA
Molecule: long non-coding RNA, 804 nt
Organism: Culex quinquefasciatus (southern house mosquito)
Lineage: Eukaryota; Metazoa; Arthropoda; Insecta; Diptera; Culicidae
Exons: 2
Source: RefSeq, a predicted model, not a curated record